This 1113-nucleotide long non-coding RNA is filed under the name Volvox carteri. RNAcentral's name for it is "long non-coding RNA (VCAR_LNC003983)". Lineage: Eukaryota; Viridiplantae; Chlorophyta; Chlorophyceae; Chlamydomonadales; Volvocaceae. The record is from RNAcentral.
CGCUGUAUGUAUGGCUGCUCAAAGUUUGGAAGAAUUCUACAUAAAGCUUUAGGAGAAAUGGCAGCAGAUGAUGGUACGGCCAUGGCAUUCUUCCACCUUCCCCAGCUCAUCAAGCUCUUCUAAACGAUAUUUCCUCGACCUAAAGCCAGCCUCAGCUCAUAGAGCUCCAAGCUCUUGCCGCAGCAACCUUGUUGACUGACCCCUGUCGCACUCUAGGGCACAUUCUGCUUACGAAGAUUAGUGAAACCUUAAAGGUACUUAAAAUUUACAAUUCAUUGUGGCACAACUGCCUUUUCUCGGUGGCCAGCUUGCCGCGCCGAUACCUCGCUACGGCCGCGAGACAAGAUACAAUCAUACAAUUGCAAUUUUUCAAGCCUCUCAAGGCGGACGUCGAGAAGAGCGUCCGCGAGGAGCUGCAAAAGCAACUGAUGGGGGUGCAGUUUGCAUUAGUACACAUGGAAUGAGGACAAUACAACUAGCCUGAACUCCUAUGCACUAUGCACUCACAAGCUUGCAUGAGUGUACAUCGUACAACACAACGUACCUGGACUGCAAUGCACUCAGAAGUCAUCAGCUUGAGUACUUAUGGAUGUGUAGGUAGAUUAGACAUGGCCUGACAUCUGAAGGGACAGGGUGCUUCAGUGUACAGGGGUCUGAUGCUGCAAGGCAGCAUGACACAGUACUUGAACUGUAUUCUUAAGAAGUGCUUGUUUUUAGCCCUAUAAAAAAACAGCCGCAGCUGCAACUCACUUGUUCCACCUGAGAGGGUUUAGAUUGUGUACAAAUCUAGUUUGCAUGUUUGUAGUUGGUGAGGCAAGGGUGGUUGUUGAGGCAGGGGUGUCUGGCAGGCCAUGCAGGGCAACAACAAUUUCAGUUUUGUCAUCGAAUGUGGAGUCUGAGAUGAGAGGGGUUGCAUGUUGCGAUGAGGGCAUGGUUUGAUUAAGACUGAUCUAUGAACAGUCUAUGAAAACCUUGAGAUUAAUAAGUGUUUCCUAAUUAAGGAUUGACACUCUUUCAGGGUUCCCACCCUAAUCGAACAGACACCUAAGCAGCCGUCAGGUGGUCGAUUACGUUUGGUCGAUUACGUUUGACGCUUGUGCAAGUGACGACGGC